This 254-nucleotide unclassified non-coding RNA is filed under the name Hevea brasiliensis (rubber tree). The record is from RNAcentral. Lineage: Eukaryota; Viridiplantae; Streptophyta; Magnoliopsida; Malpighiales; Euphorbiaceae.
AGGCUAGCUUUCAACAUGGGAACCGAGGACUCCAAAGGCUCGCUAAAUAACAUGAAUUGGAAGACAUUAGGAGGUGAUGGGACUAGCAGCUCAAGCGAAUCGGUCGUGAAAAAGCGACUCCCCAAGAAAAUGAGACAAGUGCCUGAUUACUAUUUUCUUCCCCGACGAUCGUUAAUAUCUGCAAUUGCGUUAUAUGGUUCCAUCAUGGCCGCUGGAGUUGGUGCUGGAAUGUUAGUGGAGAUAUGGAUAAACAA